AGAUUGAACGCUGGCGGCAUGCCUUACACAUGCAAGUCGAACGGCAGCGCGGGGCAACCUGGCGGCGAGUGGCGAACGGGUGAGUAAUAUAUCGGAACGUACCCUGGAGUGGGGGAUAACGUAGCGAAAGUUACGCUAAUACCGCAUACGAUCUAAGGAUGAAAGUGGGGGAUUCGCAAGAACCUCAUGCUCCUGGAGCGGCCGAUAUCUGAUUAGCUAGUUGGUGGGUAAAGGCCUACCAAGGCAUCGAUCAGUAGCUGGUCUGAGAGGACGACCAGCCACACUGGAACUGAGACACGGUCAGACUCCUACGGGAGCAGCAGUGGGAUUUGGACAAUGGGCGUAAAGCCUGAUCCAGCAAGUGCCGACGUGAGUGAAGGUAACGGCCUUCGGUUAGUAAACGCUUACGUUUUGUACGAGGGAAGAAACGGUGGAAGAGACUAAUA
Molecule: ribosomal RNA, 446 nt
Filed under: uncultured soil bacterium
Lineage: Bacteria
Description: bacterial SSU rRNA
Rfam family: Bacterial small subunit ribosomal RNA
Source: RNAcentral